RNAcentral lists this ribosomal RNA (401 nucleotides) under uncultured Staphylococcus sp. RNAcentral describes it as "bacterial SSU rRNA". It matches the Rfam family "Bacterial small subunit ribosomal RNA", at positions 975 to 1375 of the family's 1533-position model. Lineage: Bacteria; Bacillati; Bacillota; Bacilli; Caryophanales; Staphylococcaceae. The record is from RNAcentral.
CAAAUCUUGACAUCCUUUGACCACUCUAGAGAUAGAGCUUUCCCCUUCGGGGGACAAAGUGACAGGUGGUGCAUGGUUGUCGUCAGCUCGUGUCGUGAGAUGUUGGGUUAAGUCCCGCAACGAGCGCAACCCUUAAGCUUAGUUGCCAUCAUUAAGUUGGGCACUCUAGGUUGACUGCCGGUGACAAACCGGAGGAAGGUGGGGAUGACGUCAAAUCAUCAUGCCCCUUAUGAUUUGGGCUACACACGUGCUACAAUGGACAAUACAAAGGGCAGCUAAACCGCGAGGUCACGCAAAUCCCAUAAAGUUGUUCUCAGUUCGGAUUGUAGUCUGCAACUCGACUACAUGAAGCUGGAAUCGCUAGUAAUCGUAGAUCAGCAUGCUACGGUGAAUACGUUCCC